RNAcentral lists this ribosomal RNA (229 nucleotides) under uncultured eukaryote. Its description in RNAcentral is "partial small subunit ribosomal RNA". It matches the Rfam family "Eukaryotic small subunit ribosomal RNA", at positions 1208 to 1456 of the family's 1831-position model. The record is from RNAcentral.
GGAAAACUUACCAGGUCCAGACAUAGUAAGGAUUGACAGAUUGAGAGCUCUUUCUUGAUUCUAUGGGAGGUGGUGCAUGGCCGUUCUUAGUUGGUGGAGUGAUUUGUCUGGUUAAUUCCGUUAACGAACGAGACCCCCGCCUGCUAAAUAGGUCCGUGAAUGAAUUUCAUUGACGAGAUCUUCUUAGAGGGACUUUUGGUGACUAACCAAAGGAAGUUGGGGGCAAUAA